CAGCUAGUUGGUGGGGUAACGGCCUACCAAGGCAACGAUCGGUAGCUGAUCUGAGAGGAUGAUCAGCCACACUGGGACUGAGACACGGCCCAGACUCCUACGGGAGGCAGCAGUGGGGGAUCUUGCGCUAAUGCGCGAAAGCGUGACGCAGCGACGCCGCGUGGGGGAUGAAGGCCCUCGGGUUGUAAACCCCUUUCGGCAGGGACGAAGGGAAACUGACGGUACCUGCAGAAGAAGUCCCGGCUAACUACGUGCCAGCAGCCGCGGUAACACGUAGGGGACGAGCGUUGUCCGGAUUCAUUGGGCGUAAAGCGCGCGUAGGCGGCUCGGAAAGUCGGGCGUGAAAUGCCGGGGCUCAACCCCGGGACUGCGUCCGAUACUUCCGAGCUGGAGGUAGGUAGGGGAGAUCGGAAUUCCUGGUGUAGCGGUGAAAUGCGCAGAUAUCAGGAGGAACACCGGUGGCGAAGGCGGAUCUCUGGGCCUUACCUGACGCUGAGGCGCGAAAGCUAGGGGAGCGAACAGGAUUAGAUACCCUGGUAGUCCUAGCCGUAAACGUUGGGUGCUAGGUGUGGGCGGACAUCGACCCCGUCCGUGCCGAAGCUAACGCAUUAAGCACCCCGCCUGGGGAGUACCGCCGCAAG
This 641-nucleotide ribosomal RNA is filed under the name uncultured bacterium. Its description in RNAcentral is "SSU rRNA". It matches the Rfam family "Bacterial small subunit ribosomal RNA", at positions 242 to 892 of the family's 1533-position model. The record is from RNAcentral.